GUACGAAACCUUAUUCUCCACACAAAAUUUGAAUAUGUUUCAACCUUUCCUCUUGCAACACCCUCGUUGGCGAUUUCCAAUUGAACAAAAUCACCUAUUGAAAAUCAAUUUCUCCUUUAGCUAGUCUGUGCUUCUUUUAACCUAGUUGAAUUCUGUUUUUCUUUCUUCCACUAGUGGAUUGGUGGUUUAACAUUUGAGUGAAUUUCUUUUCGACGAGCACUAAUCCAGAGAAAAUUCGACAAUGGUUGCUUCAUUUUCUUCCUUCAGAAGCUAUUAAAUUAAGAGAUUAUCACACAACAUAAGGCGAGAUGCAUAGACUGAAAUCUUACUUAGAUUUUAAUUGGGGCAUCCUUAAAUUAGAGGU
Molecule: long non-coding RNA, 364 nt
Filed under: Olea europaea (common olive)
Lineage: Eukaryota; Viridiplantae; Streptophyta; Magnoliopsida; Lamiales; Oleaceae
Description: long non-coding RNA (OEUR_LNC002209)
Source: RNAcentral